GUCUAGCUGACGAGUUCCAAAUGGGACGAAAUGCGCAUCCUGGAU
Molecule: non-coding RNA, 45 nt
Filed under: Schistosoma mattheei
Lineage: Eukaryota; Metazoa; Platyhelminthes; Trematoda; Strigeidida; Schistosomatidae
Source: RNAcentral